GGCGGCUUACAUGCAGUCGAGCGGGGGAAGGUAGCUUGCUACCGGACCUAGCGGCGGACGGGUGAGUAAUGCUUAGGAAUCUGCCUAUUAGUGGGGGACAACAUCUCGAAAGGGAUGCUAAUACCGCAUACGUCCUACGGGAGAAAGCAGGGGAUCUUCGGACCUUGCGCUAAUAGAUGAGCCUAAGUCGGAUUAGCUAGUUGGUGGGGUAAAGGCCUACCAAGGCGACGAUCUGUAGCGGGUCUGAGAGGAUGAUCCGCCACACUGGGACUGAGACACGGCCCAGACUCCUACGGGAGGCAGCAGUGGGGAAUAUUGGACAAUGGGCGCAAGCCUGAUCCAGCCAUGCCGCGUGUGUGAAGAAGGCCUUAUGGUUGUAAAGCACUUUAAGCGAGGAGGAGGCUACUUUAGAUAAUACCUAGAGAUAGUGGACGUUACUCGCAGAAUAAGCACCGGCUAACUCUGUGCCAGCAGCCGCGGUAAUACAGAGGGUGCAAGCGUUAAUCGGAUUUACUGGGCGUAAAGCGCGCGUAGGCGGCUAAUUAAGUCAAAUGUGAAAUCCCCGAGCUUAACUUGGGAAUUGCAUUCGAUACUGGUUAGCUAGAGUGUGGGAGAGGAUGGUAGAAUUCCAGGUGUAGCGGUGAAAUGCGUAGAGAUCUGGAGGAAUACCGAUGGCGAAGGCAGCCAUCUGGCCUAACACUGACGCUGAGGUGCGAAAGCAUGGGGAGCAAACAGGAUUAGAUACCCUGGUAGUCCAUGCCGUAAACGAUGUCUACUAGCCGUUGGGGCCUUUGAGGCUUUAGUGGCGCAGCUAACGCGAUAAGUAGACCGCCUGGGGAGUACGGUCGCAAGACUAAAACUCAAAUGAAUUGACGGGGGCCCGCACAAGCGGUGGAGCAUGUGGUUUAAUUCGAUGCAACGCGAAGAACCUUACCUGGCCUUGACAUAGUAAGAACUUUCCAGAGAUGGAUUGGUGCCUUCGGGAACUUACAUACAGGUGCUGCAUGGCUGUCGUCAGCUCGUGUCGUGAGAUGUUGGGUUAAGUCCCGCAACGAGCGCAACCCUUUUCCUUAUUUGCCAGCGAGUAAUGUCGGGAACUUUAAGGAUACUGCCAGUGACAAACUGGAAGGAAGGCGGGGAC
RNAcentral lists this ribosomal RNA (1141 nucleotides) under Acinetobacter calcoaceticus. Its description in RNAcentral is "bacterial SSU rRNA". It matches the Rfam family "Bacterial small subunit ribosomal RNA", at positions 45 to 1180 of the family's 1533-position model. The record is from RNAcentral. Lineage: Bacteria; Pseudomonadati; Pseudomonadota; Gammaproteobacteria; Moraxellales; Moraxellaceae.